GACGAACGCUGGCGGCGUGCUUAACACAUGCAAGUCGAACGGAAAGGCCUGCUUUCCCUUGUGGUUUGCGGGUACUCGAGUGGCGAACGGGUGAGUAACUCGCGAGUGAUCUGCCCCCAACUUGGGUAUAAGACUGGGAAACUGGGCCUAAUUCCCGAUAGGACUGCAGGGUGGUGCCUGUGGUGGAAAACGAUCUUCUAGUGGUUGGGGAUGCGCUCGCGGCCUAUCAGCUUGUUGGUGUGGUAAUGGCCUACCAAGGCGGCGACGGGUAGCCGGCCUGAGAGGGUGGACGGCCACAUUGGGACUGAGAUACGGCCCAGACUCCUACGGGAGGCAGCAGUGGGGAAUAAUGCACAAUGGGCGGAAGCCUGAUGCAGCGACGCCGCGUGGGGGAUGACGGCCUUCGGGUUGUAAACUCCUUUCGACCGCGAGGAAGCCACCUGGUUGGAAGGGUGGUGACGGUAGUGGUAGAAGAAGCACCGGCUAACUACGUG
This 494-nucleotide ribosomal RNA is filed under the name uncultured bacterium. Its description in RNAcentral is "partial 16S ribosomal RNA". It matches the Rfam family "Bacterial small subunit ribosomal RNA", at positions 28 to 507 of the family's 1533-position model. The record is from RNAcentral.